Paramormyrops kingsleyae is the source of this 117-nucleotide ribosomal RNA. NCBI's taxonomy places the organism in Eukaryota, Metazoa, Chordata, Actinopteri, Osteoglossiformes, Mormyridae. The record is from Ensembl.
GUCAGCAGCUAUACCAUCUGUGGUUCAGACCAGGUAAUCCGUCUGAACUUAAACAGGAUUGGGCCUGGCCAGUGUUUUGAGGGGAGACCAAUUAGGAAAGCUGAGUUGCUUCUGGAA